This 253-nucleotide ribosomal RNA is filed under the name uncultured bacterium. RNAcentral describes it as "partial 16S ribosomal RNA". It matches the Rfam family "Bacterial small subunit ribosomal RNA", at positions 524 to 776 of the family's 1533-position model. The record is from RNAcentral.
UACAGGGGGUGCAAGCGUUGCUCGGAAUUACUGGGCGUAAAGCGUACGCAGGCGGGUUGACAAGUCGGGUGUGAAAGCCCGGGGCUCAACCCCGGAAAUGCACUCGAGACUGUCGUCCUCGAGUACGGGAGAGGUGAGCGGAAUUCCUGGUGUAGCGGUGAAAUGCGUAGAUAUCAGGAGGAACACCGGUGGCGAAAGCGGCUCACUGGUCCGAUACUGACGCUCAUGUACGAAAGCGAGGGGAGCAAACAGG